AUAAAAUGAGCUCCAGUCGUGGUGCCAGUAGACAAUCUCCUGCUGGUUCUACUAGACUCAAACCAAAUCCCAACUUCUUCAAUUCUCCUAGUCAAAGUGAUGGGGUAGGUAAGGAGGGGACUGUACCAGAAUCCUUAUAUAAAGAAGCUCGUAAAACCAGUUCACUGAACCUGUGAAACAGGGGCAUUAGUGCUAUUCCUCCUAAACUGUGGAGACUCAAUAUUGAUCCUCCUGAUGGUAGUACUGCUUCAUUUGAUGUUGAUGAGAGAUGGUGGGACCAGGUGGAACUGACUAGACUGGAUCUAUCAUCUAACGAAAUCAAAGAAAUAUCUGAAGAUAUUGAAAACUUUAAUUCAUUGUCAGCGCUUGAGGUCCAGUACAAUGAGUUAAGAUGUCUACCUAAUAAUGUGAUCAAACUGGAUAAACUAUCUAAAAUAUUUGCAAGUUAUAAUAAACUACAGUGUUUACCAGUAGACAUUGGAUAAUUGACUAAUUUACAGUCUCUCAAUAUAUCACACAAUUCACUAACUGUUCUACCACACUCAAUCAAAUUAUGGUUCAGUUAGUCUUCAGCCACUUACCAGCACACGCAAUUCUGUCUAUUCAGCACCUGAAGCAGGCAAUCCAAAGGAACACUCUCCUGCAAUGGAUGUCUUCAGUUAUGGUGUCCUCCUUAUGGAAAUGUCCGUUUGUCAGUUUCCAGACGUAGGAAAGAGAGUGGCUCAGAUUAAAGCUAUCAAGAGGCCGACAUUGAAGAAUCUCAUUGAACAUUGUCUGAUAGAGACUACAAAGAUUGUCCAACAAUGUCUGACAUUAUAA
Molecule: long non-coding RNA, 819 nt
Organism: Amphimedon queenslandica
Lineage: Eukaryota; Metazoa; Porifera; Demospongiae; Haplosclerida; Niphatidae
Exons: 4
Source: RefSeq, a predicted model, not a curated record